This 253-nucleotide ribosomal RNA is filed under the name uncultured bacterium. RNAcentral describes it as "partial 16S ribosomal RNA". It matches the Rfam family "Bacterial small subunit ribosomal RNA", at positions 524 to 776 of the family's 1533-position model. The record is from RNAcentral.
GACGUAGGGCGCGAGCGUUGUCCGGAAUUAUUGGGCGUAAAGAGCUCGUAGGCGGCUUGUCGCGUCGACUGUGAAAACCCGCGGCUUAACCGCGGGCUUGCAGUUGAUACGGGCAGGCUAGAGUUCGGUAGGGGAGACUGGAAUUCCUGGUGUAGCGGUGAAAUGCGCAGAUAUCAGGAGGAACACCGGUGGCGAAGGCGGGUCUCUGGGCCGAUACUGACGCUGAGGAGCGAAAGCGUGGGGAGCGAACAGG